GCUGCAACUCGCCUGCAUGAAGUCGGAAUUGCUAGUAAUCGCGGAUCAGCAUGCCGCGGUGAAUACGUUCUCGGGCCUUGUACACACCGCCCGUCACACCAUGGGAGACGGUAACACCCGAAGUCUGUAGCCUGACGCAAGAGGGCGCAGCCGAAGGUGGGAUUGAUGACUGGGGUGAAGUCGUAACAAGGUAGC
This 195-nucleotide ribosomal RNA is filed under the name uncultured bacterium. Its description in RNAcentral is "partial 16S ribosomal RNA". It matches the Rfam family "Bacterial small subunit ribosomal RNA", at positions 1304 to 1500 of the family's 1533-position model. The record is from RNAcentral.